CCCACUCAGGUUGGCUCCUGUCUGUGUUGAUUUUUCAUGCCGCAGUCGUGUGGGUUUUCUGUCUGUGACUCUGGUUUCCUCCCACAUGUGACUCUGAAUUGCCCCGUCUAUGCCCGGUGAUGACUGGUGCCUAUCCAUGACAGACUCCUGCCUGGUACCUGGUAUAGCUGGCACACACUCUCUCUAAAUAGAUGAUCUCCAGCUCCUCAAGUUUUCAGUCACCUUGCCCUCGGGGUCCAGUUUUCCCAGGAAUCCCUUGGACAAUCACAUGGGGAUUCCUGGAAAUACUGUUCUUGGGGGCUGGGCCAGGCACCCUUGUUGACAGCGAUGGAGAUACGUGGGCCGAUGAGAAUAGAUGCACAGUGAAGACAGCGAGUUCUUUAAAGAGCAGCAGCAAUCAUCACACCCAACUGUAGUCAUCUUACCUUAAUAAACAUUAUUUUAACUCUUGGAA
This is a long non-coding RNA of Erpetoichthys calabaricus (reedfish), 454 nucleotides long. RefSeq lists it as uncharacterized. The transcript is spliced from 2 exons. The record is from RefSeq and is a predicted model, not a curated record. Lineage: Eukaryota; Metazoa; Chordata; Cladistia; Polypteriformes; Polypteridae.